This 295-nucleotide long non-coding RNA is filed under the name Ananas comosus (pineapple). RNAcentral describes it as "long non-coding RNA (ACOM_LNC007946)". Lineage: Eukaryota; Viridiplantae; Streptophyta; Magnoliopsida; Poales; Bromeliaceae. The record is from RNAcentral.
AGCGUUUUGGGCCAAAGCUGUGUUGUUUUAGGCUUCGUUUGGAAUUAUGAAAAAAUUACAUUACUUGCGGUGAGAAAAUAUGUUGAAAAAAUAUUCUAUUUAUUUUCGUACGUAAUAUUACGUUCCGCAUAUUGCGAUGAAUCGAUUACGAUAUAUUUUCUGCGGUCCCAUCAGAGAACGCAGAAGCAUAUCUCUAUAUUUUUUUUCUUAAUUCUAUUUUUUCUAAUAGCAGUAGAUAGCCCUUAAUACCAAAUUAAACCUUAAAAAGCAAGUUGAAGGGUCCAGAUAUUAUUCU